UAGCUCAGUUGGGAGAGCAUCCGCUUUGCAAGCGGGAGGUCAGGGGUUCGAGUCCCCU
Molecule: transfer RNA, 58 nt
Filed under: Chloroflexota bacterium
Lineage: Bacteria; Bacillati; Chloroflexota
Description: Chloroflexi bacterium (hot springs metagenome) tRNA-Ala
Rfam family: tRNA
About the family: Transfer RNA (tRNA) molecules are approximately 80 nucleotides in length.
Source: RNAcentral